AUGGGGGACGAGAUGGAGGCGGCGGCGUGGGCGUGGGCAUGGCGCGGCUGGCUGACGUGGCGCGCGGCGGCCGUGCUGCUGUCGGCGUGGCUGGCGCUGCACGUGGCGGCGCUGGUGGCGGACGCGCUGUGGUGGCGGCCGCGGCGGCUGGAGGCGCACUUCGCGGCGCAGGGCGUGCGCGGGCCGCCGUACCGGUUCCUGCUGGGUUCGGUGAAGGAGAUGGUGGGGCUCAUGGUGGAGGCCUCCUCCAAGCCCAUGUCGCCGCCCACCUCCCACAACGCGCUCCCCCGCGUCCUCGCCUUCUACCACUACUGGCGGAAGAUCUACGGUCCGACGUUCUUGAUAUGGUUCGGGCCGACGCCGCGGCUGACGGUAGCGGAGCCGGAGCUGAUCCGGGAGAUCUUCCUGACCCGCGCCGACGCCUUCGACCGCUACGAGGCGCACCCCGUCGUGCGCCAGCUCGAGGGGGACGGCCUCGUCAGCCUCCACGGGGACAAGUGGGCGCUCCACCGCCGCGUCCUCGGCGACGCCUUCUACCCCGACAACCUCAACCGCCUGGUGCCGCACGUCGGCAAGUCCGUGGCCGCGCUGGCGGAGAAGUGGCGAGAGAUGGCGGCGGCCGACGGCAGCGGCGAGGUGGAAGUAGACGUGGCGGAGUGGUUCCAGGAGGUGACGGAGGAGGCCAUCACGCGCGCCACCUUCGGCGGCAGCUACAACGACGGCCGCGUGGUGUUCGGCAUGCAGAGCCAGCUGAUGGCCUUCGCCUCCGAGGCGUUCCGCAAGGUCUUCGUCCCAGGCUACCGGUUCAUGCCGACCAAGAAGAACUGGCUGUCGUGGAAGCUGGACAGGGGUAUCCGGCGGAACCUGACCAGGCUCAUCGGCCGGCGCAGCGACGAGGCGGCCGCCGCCGUGAAAGCCGCCGAGGGUGAGAAGGCCGACACCGGGAGCUUCCGCGACUUGCUCGGGCUGAUGAUCAAUGCCAGCCAGAGGAGGACGCGGGCGCCGGCGGCGAAGGCGAUCCCGGUACAUGACAUGGUGGAGGAGUGCAAGACGUUCUUCUUCGCCGGGAAGCAGACGACGACGAACCUACUGACGUGGGCUACCGUGCUCCUCGCCAUGCACCCAGAGUGGCAAGAGCGCGCCCGGCGCGAGGUCCUGGACGUGUGCGGCUCCGACGACCCCUCCAAGGAGCACCUCCCCAGGCUGAAAACGCUGGGCAUGAUCAUAAACGAGACGCUCCGGCUGUACCCGCCGGCGGUGGCAACGAUCCGGCGCGCAAAGGCCGACGUGCGGCUCUCGGACGGGUGCAUGAUCCCGCGCGACAUGGAGCUGCUCAUCCCGAUCAUGGCCAUCCACCACGACGCUCGGUACUGGGGCCAGGACGCGGCGCAGUUCAACCCGGCGCGGUUCGCCAACGGGGCGGCCAGGGCGGCGAAGCACCCGCUGGCCUUCAUACCCUUCGGGCUCGGGUCCCGGAUGUGCGUCGGCCAGAACCUGGCGCGCCUGGAGGCCAAGCUCACCAUGGCCAUCCUCCUGCAGCGGUUCGAGAUCCGGACGUCCCCCAACUACGUGCACGCGCCGACGGUGCUGAUGCUCCUCUACCCGCAGUACGGGGCGCCGUUGAUCUUCCGGCCGCUCGCAUCACAGCCGUCGGCGGAUUCUACUACGUGCUCCUGUCCGAGACCCGAAUUCUUGUGUCAAAACUGA
This 1707-nucleotide ribosomal RNA is filed under the name Triticum aestivum (bread wheat). RNAcentral's name for it is "partial small subunit ribosomal RNA". Lineage: Eukaryota; Viridiplantae; Streptophyta; Magnoliopsida; Poales; Poaceae. The record is from RNAcentral.